This 483-nucleotide ribosomal RNA is filed under the name Anabaena sp. WA113. Its description in RNAcentral is "bacterial SSU rRNA". It matches the Rfam family "Bacterial small subunit ribosomal RNA", at positions 1 to 528 of the family's 1533-position model. The record is from RNAcentral. Lineage: Bacteria; Bacillati; Cyanobacteriota; Cyanophyceae; Nostocales; Nostocaceae.
AAAAUGGAGAGUUUGAUCCUGGCUCAGGAUGAACGCUGGCGGUAUGCUUAACACAUGCAAGUCGAACGGUCUUUUAGGAGACAGUGGCGGACGGGUGAGUAACGCGUAAGAAUCUACCUUCAGGUUGGGGACAACCACUGGAAACGGUGGCUAAUACCGAAUGUGCCGAGAGGUGAAAGGCUUGCUGCCUGAAGAAGAGCUUGCGUCUGAUUAGCUAGUUGGUAGUGUAAGAGACUACCAAGGCGACGAUCAGUAGCUGGUCUGAGAGGAUGAUCAGCCACACUGGGACUGAGACACGGCCCAGACUCCUACGGGAGGCAGCAGUGGGGAAUUUUCCGCAAUGGGCGAAAGCCUGACGGAGCAAUACCGCGUGAGGGAGGAAGGCUCUUGGGUUGUAAACCUCUUUUCUCAGGGAAGAACAGAAUGACGGUACCUGAGGAAUAAGCAUCGGCUAACUCCGUGCCAGCAGCCGCGGUAAUACGG